Misgurnus anguillicaudatus (oriental weatherfish) is the source of this 1799-nucleotide non-coding RNA. Lineage: Eukaryota; Metazoa; Chordata; Actinopteri; Cypriniformes; Cobitidae. The record is from RefSeq and is a predicted model, not a curated record.
AGAGAAGUGGCAACCGAACUCAAUCCAACUCAUGCACAAGAAGUGAGUGCAUCCCCCCAUCCAGACCACCAUGUCUGCCCGACGCCACACCGUAACGUCAAGUCAAAGUAAACGGUGCCGUUAUAAACGGCUCAUCUGCGCGAUUUGUAACCGCCGGCGGUCGUGCUGAGCGCACGUGUACCGCCGCCACGAUGCUUUAUGUCUUUUACAUUAGAGCACAAGAAACAGACUUGAAGAAAUAAUGUACGAGGCUGAAUUGUGCUACCAUGUUAUGAAAGAGGUGGCCGCUACGUUAACCAAUGAAAAUGUCAGGAGUUAACAGUUUUUCAUGGGCCGCCAUGACAUGUUUUGUGAGGCUGACUGGAAUAAAGCCCUUUUUUUUGCUGAAUUUGUGCUGAAUCAACACACCCUGAAUCAAAGUCAUUUGCAUUUCAUCCAAACAUGGAGAUGCUGUGAAAUGAGGCCUGGCUGCUGGAAUGCUGUUUCCUGAAAGUUUCGCCAGAGGCUUCUAUUAAAUACCAAGCUCUGAAUACAACGAGCAGGCCUACGAUUGGAGUCAAACUUGCCUUACGCGCGUGCACAGAAGAACCCAAUGCUCUUCAAAGAGUGGACAUUUCAAUUUGAAUGGAAGAUCCCAGAUUUUCAUUAUGGACCUCAUUGUAUGGAUGCUACUAUCAGUAGGCUGUGACUCUGAAGCGGGAGGAAUUAUGAUCAUGUCGGUCUUGUCUACAUCACCAAUCCCAGGAAGUAAACUGUUGCCUACAAUCCGUGUGUUUGUUGUAGUCCAAGAAAACAGAUUUACGUUGGAGACGAUAACUUGCGUCAUCGUUUACUUUGGGGUUUGUACCUUUUGCAUAUCAUUAACAUGUACUAAUACACACUUACACACCAAAGUAAUGUAAAAUCGUGAAUCGGACAAUUGGUGCAAACAAUAAUAUAAUUCUCAUAUAUCAUUGUCUUCAUAAUAAUACAUGAGAAGGCAAUGUGUUCAUCAUGUGACAAUCAGAAUAGUUUGGUGAAAGUGCCAAUGUGUUUUAAGGUUUUGCCUGCUUUUAAUCUCAGAUUUACUGUAUAGGCUUAAAUAGCGGCAAUCACUUUAACUGCAAGGAAUCCCAUUCAGUGUUGUGUCUAUGUGUACACUUAAACAAAUUAAAUCUCAGAUUAAACUGAAUACUACGUUGUCAGAAAAAGGUACAAAGCUGUCACUGAGAUGGUACCUUUAAAAAAGGUUUGGUUAUAGAUAUGUACCUCUGAUGUACCAAUAUGCUCCCUAUAUGGUGUACUUUUUGAGAAGGCACUGCCCCAGUGACAGCUUUUGAUGCUUUUUUUAAAGUAUUGUGCUAAAAGAAAUUUUACAAAAGCAUUCUCAGUUCUCUCUUUUCUUCCAUUCCAUCUUUCUUUCCCUCCUUUUCCACCACACACUUCUCCACCUGAGCAGUCCAGUGUGUUAUCUAACAGAACCACCGUGUAGGAGGGGAUUACAUCCAUGCGCUUAUGAAUAUCUCUGUGGAUAUUGCGCUGCAGAAGAGCUCUUCUUUGCUUCCGUGCUUCGUGCCGCUGGGGAUCUGAACAUUCGUGAAACACUGUGAACUUUGACCUCGCUAACGCAGUAACUAGAACGAAGUUACGUGGUCAUGUCAUCUCACUCUGUCAUGAAAAGAGCAACGUGCAACGGCAUAUGUGCGGUGCAUUUUGUUUUAAAUGUGAUUCAUUUAAGGGUUCUUGUCAAAAUUCCAGCUGGAUAGUUCAUUGGGUUUAUCCGUAUUUAGUUUGUAGCGUUACGUAAGGCAUAAUGUAUA